Molecule: unclassified non-coding RNA, 229 nt
Filed under: Hevea brasiliensis (rubber tree)
Lineage: Eukaryota; Viridiplantae; Streptophyta; Magnoliopsida; Malpighiales; Euphorbiaceae
Source: RNAcentral
AGCUGAAGGAUAACGUGUGGUUAAAAGCGCAUUUGAUUUUAUUUUAUUUUAUUGGAUGUUCACAGUAUCAAUAACAAUUUUUAUUCUGGAUAAGCUUAAAAUUUGCUUUCUUGUUCUGUUUAAAAAUCAAAUCUUUCUCAGUUGGGUGUUGUUAAUCUGUGAAAUAGAAGCUCUAUCUUUGUUUUUGUACUUUUUUUUGUUGAAGAUUUGGGGUUUUUGGGAUUUGGGA